RNAcentral lists this transfer RNA (72 nucleotides) under Choristoneura fumiferana (eastern spruce budworm). RNAcentral's name for it is "tRNA-Glu". Lineage: Eukaryota; Metazoa; Arthropoda; Insecta; Lepidoptera; Tortricidae. The record is from RNAcentral.
AUUUAUAUAGUUUAAUAUAAAACAUUACAUUUUCAUUGUAAAAAUAAAAAUUUAUAAUUUUUUUUAUAAAUA